RNAcentral lists this long non-coding RNA (6567 nucleotides) under Homo sapiens (human). RNAcentral describes it as "HSALNT0168858". Lineage: Eukaryota; Metazoa; Chordata; Mammalia; Primates; Hominidae. The record is from RNAcentral.
CAAAAAUUCUCAUUCCAUCUUGUCCAACGCACCAGCACUCAUGAGCCUUCUUUUCUUGUCACCCUGGCUGCUCUCACAUCUUCCCACCUGCCUUCCAUCCCUUGGAUGGUGAAGGCUGAGAACCUGUGGGCAGGAGCCGAGUCUUGUGCACUUCUGUCUCCCAGUGCCGGGCUUGUGCCAGGAGUCGAUAAAUGCAUUGUGUCAACUAAGAUAUUAAAGAAUAGCGUUGAGCCACUAGGCACUCCUGCCGAGUUCAAAGGAGAGGGCGCUUCAGUCAGACAGCAAAUGAAAGCAAGAAACUGAAGCAUACAGAGAUAAGCAACCCGCCAGGCUUCAAGUGCCAGAACUGGGAUCCAACCCAAGCAAUCUCAUUCCUCAACUUUAUAGUGAUUACAAUUAUUGAUGUUGUUAUGUAUUCUCAAUUACUAAGGGGAAAGAAGAACACAUUAUUUCCUAGUCAAAGUCUCCACAGCCGAAACAAGUGUAAAGUUGUUGCGGUUAAGCAGGGCCCUGAUUAUAGUAAGAUCUUUUCUGUAUUACACAGAUUUCACCCAGAUCACCAGCAUUUGUCAGUAAAUUCUCUUUUCCCAAGCCUACAAGCUCACCUCUAGGGCAUGCUUUAUUUCCCUCUAGCUGAACACUGCCUGCUAGGCCACUCUUGGAGGAAAGAGACAGAAAUGUUCAUGAGACCACUCAGGGUUUGCUGGACCAGGUGCCUCAAAGUCCAAGUAGCACUGACAGCAACUUUCCCCAGCAUCACACUCAUCCCCGCAGCCCUGGCCUCUCUGGCCACAGUCCAGGUACCCCUCCUCAGUCUUUCUGCUACUCUCUGCAGUAUUUGAGCCCCAAGAGGGUCAAACAGGCCUCACACCUAUUCGCGUAAUCCUUCUCUGCCCCGGUAAUCAGGGCUUCCACUUGUGGAGAGCCUACUGUGUGCCAGAUGCCAUUUCAGGCAAUUAACACAUCUUAUGUCAUUUAAUUCUCAUGGCAACCCUGAAAUCAUCCUCUCCACUUUACAAAGGGGAAGCUGAGCCUUGGGGAGUUUAAAUAACCUCCUCAUUUUGCAUCUCAUGCCCGUCUCCUCCCUCUGACCUAAGAGCUUAAAGAUAGCUACUGGGGGUGGGGGGGGGGUUCCAUGACAUCCCUUUUCUCUCCCCAAAUCACAGUCUGUUUGGAUGCCUGUUUCUGGGCUCACAGCGCAGAGGCUGGUCAAUGCUCCUGUCACCCUGUGUUAGAAUCACAGAUACCAUUUCCUGGCUUUCCCACUGGAAUUGAAGCUCCAGUGUACAUGCAAAAGCUAACAGGGCAUCCAUGAAUUAAUAAACAAGUGAACAAAUGCACACAGAGGUCACAUAGAAGUCAUACGUGUGGUGGUAAAGCACAAACUUGCAAGCAGACUGCCUGGUGCCUAUCUGGCUCUCUAUGCCAACUGUGUGACUCUAGACUAGUAGCCUAAUCCCUCUGGGCCUCAUUUUUCAUCAUAUACAAAGUGGAGACAAUGGCAACUGCCCCAUUAGGUUGUAAAGAGCAUUAAACAAGUUAACAUAUAUCAACUUUUAAAAAGUGUCUGGCAUGUAACAAGACAUCAAUAAAGAGUAACGACUCUUACUAUACCUUGUCAUUAUCCUCAUCAUCAGAGCUUUACCAGGCAAAGCCAACCUUGAAGUCCACGUAGUUGCCUUGCUUUGGGGAAAAAGAAUUAUCAAAAUUAUGAUCCUGGAAGAAAAAUUAAAUAACUCAAUUAAAGCACUGUGAAAAUAGAACUUGAAAAAAAUGUAGACCUGCCCUUGACGGUGCUCAGGAAAAGAAAUAGAAGAGCCCAUCACUGCUUCUUAGGUGGGCUGCCCAGCAUGGUUCUUGGGGUGACCAAGGAGUGACAAGCCACAGGGCUACAGAACAGGUACAAGCCUGAGUGGGGCCUGCUCCUCUUACCCUCUCCUUUUCACCUCAGAAUCCUCCUUCUUGCCUAAGGCCAGAGAGUCCAGUGGGUGAUGAGGAGAGAGCCUGGGCUGAACCACAUGGGCCACAUUGCUGUGCCCCCAGACAUCAUUAGCCAUUCCAUAAAGACAUCAUUAGUCAUAGCAGAUAGGCCAAACCCACCACUACUGUUGGAAACCAACUCCACAGACAUAUUUUCAAGAGUCUUCAGCAAUGUCAUUCUCAUACCUAAGAAACAGUGACUCCUCUCUAGGUCAAGCCAGUGGCCUGCUCCAGGGCACUCACUGUGGAUCCCUCCUCUGGGCCCAGCCCCUGCCUAGGAGGCCCUUUCUUCUCCAUUCCACCUUCAAAGGCCUUUUCCAUUCCCUACAGCUCAGGUCCAGUCACUGGUGUUUCUCCCACUCUCUGGCUUCUCUGAAAUGCCCAGCAAGCACCUGGCCAGCACAGUUCUGGAACUCUUCACACCUGUGACCUGCAUCUCCUUGUAGAGCACGAGUUGUUCCGGCCCAAUGCCUAUCAGUUAUUUUUCCAACACUGGGCUGCAAAUGUGGCAGGCCCUUAAAAAAAUAUGUGUAGACUAAAAGAUAAGAUUCAGUGGGUAAUGAAAUAACCCAGUGAUGCCCAAAGAAGGUUUGGGGCUAAAAUCAAGUUCAUGUAAUGCUGAGCGUUCAGAAAAUCGUUUUUCGUGUUUCUAGUGGAAAUAGCUUAUGGAAUGCUUUUAUCACUUAAAUUUUGUUGGGUUUAUUUUUUUCACAGAGUAUUUUACCUCUGUUCGCCAUGUGUGAAGGAAUAACUGUAACUCUGUGGUCUAUGGGAGAGCUAGCUCCAAGCUAAAGUCCAAAAUGAUGAAGUCAAGCACAAGAAGAUAUUUUGAGCUCUAACGAGUUUUGGGGGGGAAAGCUCACAUAAUUCACCAGUGUUCCACAUGGCUGUUUUUUCCUACUCAGAGCCCUUCUUACUUAGAUGAAAAAUACAGAUAAUACACUGACACAUGCCCCAGCUGACUAGAUUCAAAGAUGUUAUCCUGUUCCAUAAUGGGAAAAAAAAAUCAAGUAAACAUAGAGAGUGUAAUAGAUUACCCAGUUUUAACCAUUGUUUUUUAAAGUUUCUUUUUUGGAGGUGGGCAGGAUUCUACAUAAGAUUUUAUAUUCAUUAAAAAGUGAUCUGAAAAUACUGUGAUCAAAUUUUUUAAAAAGAGAAUAUUGGUUUAAUGAUCUCUUUCAAGUUUAGUUAUUCAGCUGCAACUUGACUUCCAAGUGCACUUAACUCAUUAUCACUCUUGUAGGGUAACACUUCUUUAUAAAUGCUCAAAACACUCAGAUCCUGAAAAGGGUGGCUUAAUGAGGGUGGAGUGUGGUAACUGUAGUCAAAUCCGCCUAUUUAGUAUAAGCGAUUUACAUUUUGAUAAUCAAUGGAAUUAAGUGAUCUUGAAAGAAUAACAAUUUUGCUUAGUUGUCUCUAUAAUUCCAGAUACGGACUUCAUUCUUACCAUUGCUCCCUUGUAUAGAGUUUUAGAUAUUUUGAUGUAUAGCUAUUAGAAGUUGUUAAAGAUAAACAAAUGAAACGCUUGUUGUUCCCACUUCACGUUGUAAUUAUUCCUCCUGCCUUAUGAAUAAGUGCAAAGAGAAUAUCAAAAGUCAGAGGAGAUUCUACUGCUCACAAACACUACCAACUUCCUGUUAACACGAGUCAGAAAGUUGGAUUGAGUGACUCUUCUGAUGCAAAGCUGAUUAUUUAUUUGAAAAAGGUAACAUUCUUGUUUUCUGCAAUUAACUAUUUUAUUGAAGAGCAACAGGCAUGGAAGAAUCACACACCUAUGGUGAUUUUUUUCAAAGAAAACAAUUAGUACCCAUAUCAAAAAAGCUAAUUCACAUUAAUUAAAGAACACCCACAUCAGUUAAAUAUAAUAACCUCCCCUUUCACUUAACUUGCUGUAUACAAUGUGUUGCUUAAAAGUACUGGGCUUCAAGAUAAUAAAGAAUGACAGUUGAAGGGUCUGGAACUUAGAGAAAAACUUUAGGGUCUGUAACCAUUUUAAUUGCACAUAAUUAUGGAUAAGGAAGUGGAACAAUUUAAUUUCUGGGCCUUCAUGCUAUUAGAAGGCUAACAGAACAGUAUCAAAAUUAGUUAUUCAAGUAAAAUUGCAAGAAGCUGUUUUUCAUUUCAAAGUAUAAAUGGAAACUAAGUGGAAUGAUGACUAACUUUUGUUCCAUCUUUUCACUUAUAUGACACAAUGGUGAUUCAAGAUCUGGUGGAAAUUAUUUAUGGAGAUUUGGAACAAGUAAAGUAAAAUACAUUUUUAAAUAUUCGUUUUAUUUUUUUAUUUUAGAAAAUAUAGAAAAUUAUGAUGAAGAAAAUAAAAAUCCAUCCUAAUGUGUGCAGAAUGUCUCUAGAAGGGAACACAAGAAACUUGUAAUGGUUGCAUGAGGGGAAGGAUCUGGUUGUGUGGAGGGUAGGCAUUGGAAGGAGUCUUAGCUUUGACUAAAUACUUUUUAUUAUGUUAGACUUUUUUUUAAUUAAAUUAAAUUAAGUCUUUAGGAAAUUACCCAUAAUCUCACCAAUCAAAGAUUAGACUGUUAACAUUGAGGUAUACUUCCAACACUUUCCUAUGGACUAACAUUCUAUUUCUCUCUUAUAAAAUUGGGCUCACUAUAUAUUUUAUAGCCUAUUACAUGCUGAGCUUUCCCUGUGUUAUUAAACAUUCUUCUUAAGCUUGAUUAUUAACAGGCUAAUAGUGUUCAUUUGUGGAUGAAUCAAUUAUUUAAUUAAAUCCUCUCUUGUUGGGCAUUUAGAUUAUCUUUCAUUUUCCAAUGAUGUAAAUAGCUCUGCAGUGAACAUCCUUGUUCUUCACCCUUUCUACGCUCUCCUGAGUAUAGUUGACCCUUGAACGAUGCAGGAGUUAGGGGUGCUGACCCCUGCACAGUUGAAAAUCUAUGUAUAACUUUCGACUCCCCCAAAACUUAACUACCAAUAGCCUACUGUUGACCGGAAGAUUUACCAAUAACGUAAACAGUCAAUAAAUACAUAUUUUAUAUGUUACAUAUAUAAAUACAUGCAUACAUAUACUGUAUUCUUACAAUAAAGUAAGCUAGAGAAAAACAAAAUGUUAUUAAGAAAAUUAUAAGGAAGAGAAAAUAUAUUUUUACUAUGUAUUAAGUGGAAGUGGAUCAUUAUCAAGGUCAUCACCCUCAUUUUCCUCAUGUUGAGUUGCCUGAGGAGGAGGAAAGGGAGGGGUUGGUCUUACUGUCUCAGGAGUGGCAGGGGCAAAAGAAAAUCCACAUAUAAAUAGACCCACACGGUUCAAACCCAUGUUGUUCAAGGAUCAACUGCAUUUUCAUAAGAAACAUUUUAUAGAAGUUGAAUUACCAAGUCCAACAGAUAAACAUUCUAGAGCUUUUGAUACGUAUUGCCAAAAUGCCCUCUAGGAAGAGAUUAUCAGUUUCUACUCUUAUAGCAAUAUAUAGGAAUGCCCUUUUCAGGGCACCCUUCCCACACCGGGGAGAGACAUUAGGGGAAGGCAUGUGUGCAAAUUGGGUCUAAUGAAAUUUUCAAAUAAAAAUAGAGAUUUCUGCAAAUAUUUUAUUCCAAAUUUUGGGUGUUGUAGAGAUGCUGCCAUAGUUAAUUCUACAAAAUACAUUUCUCCCUUUAGGGCUUCCAGUGAAGUGGAGUGGUUUCUAAACUUCCCUAACAGAAGGCCAGGACUUCUCAAAUGCCAAGAAUUGGUUCUGUGCCUUGAAAGCUGACAAUAUUUUGUAAACCACAAAGUGUUGCAAAGCAGGAAGUCUUGUCAAUUCAUCACCCAAAUCUCUUUGACACAGAUUUGGGGGAUGAGUUUAUGAUUUUAUGAGAGAGCUUAUGAUUGAGGGUUGUACGCAACCUCCAGUGAUUCAACUUCCCCAGGGUCAUCCUGUUCAAUAUGAGGUCUCACCUCCCUGAACUGGUGUCACUAGCUCCAACCUCCCGUUUUGGGAGGUGCAACAAACCAGCAUAGGACAUUGGAUGUAGUCCCCUUCAGACAUUUACCAGAAAUAAUCCUAACCUGCUUUUAGCUUAGAACUAAAACAUAUGCCUUUAUGACAACACAGGCACUUAUACAGAAUUUAGAAAUUAUAGACAAGCACAAAGAAAAUAGAUAUCGCCUUUAAUUCCACCACACAGAGAUAAUCUCUGUUAAUAUUUCAGUAUGUUGUUGGUAAUCAAUAUCCCAUCUUUUGUGCAUAUGCAGAUUCUUAUUUUGUAAACAUGAGACACUAUUAUGCUUUCUGUGUUGUAACCUCCUUUUUCACUUAAUAUAUCAUGAACUAUUUUCCAGGUUAUUAAAUAUGUGACAAAAAUGUCUUUGAUUCCUUUAUAAUAUUCUGUCACAUACUAUAAAGUUCCUCUGUGAUUUUGCAAUAAAUUAACUUGUUUUGUCACUAUACAGACGUAGCUUUUUUAAAAAAAAAUCAACUCCUAAUAUUUAUUUUUAAAUUUGUUUGUGAAGGUAGAAACUCUCCUACCCAUCAGUAUAACAUAUAGCAAAUGCCCCAGGCAUGUGCAAUGGCUCAUGAGCUAAACCCAGAGUCCUUUGAAAAGACUAGAUAAGAGUAAGACUCCUGUAAUCCCAGCACUUUGGGAGGCCGAGGCGGG